UUGGGUUGUAAACCCCUUUUCUCAGGGAAGAAGAAAGUGACGGUACCUGAGGAAUCAGCCUCGGCUAACUCCGUGCCAGCAGCCGCGGUAAUACGGAGGAGGCAAGCGUUAUCCGGAAUGAUUGGGCGUAAAGCGUCCGUAGGUGGCCACUCAAGUCUGCUGUCAAAUCCUGAGGCUCAACCUCAGAUCGGCAGUGGAAACUGAGUAGCUUGAGUGCGGUAGGGGCAGAGGGAAUUCCCGGUGUAGCGGUGAAAUGCGUAGAGAUCGGGAAGAACACCGGUGGCGAAAGCGCUCUGCUGGGCCGCAACUGACACUGAGGGACGAAAGCUAGGGGAGCGAAUGGGAUUAGAUACCCCAGUAGUCCUAGCCGUAAACGAUGGAAACUAGGUGUUGCCUGUAUCGACCCGGGCAGUGCCGUAGCUAACGCGUUAAGUUUCCCGCCUGGGGAGUACGCACGCAAGUGUGAAACUCAAAGGAAUUGACGGGGGCCCGCACAAGCGGUGGAGUAUGUGGUUUAAUUCGAUGCAACGCGAAGAACCUUACCAGGGCUUGACAUGUCCGGAAGCCUGGGGAAACCCGGGUGUGCCUUCGGGAACCGGAACACAGGUGGUGCAUGGCUGUCGUCAGCUCGUGUCGUGAGAUGUUGGGUUAAGUCCCGCAACGAGCGCAACCCUCGUUCUUAGUUGCCAGCAUUAAGUUGGGCACUCUAAGGAGACUGCCGGUGACAAACCGGAGGAAGGUGGGGA
This 746-nucleotide ribosomal RNA is filed under the name Sirenicapillaria rigida BLCC-M116. RNAcentral's name for it is "bacterial SSU rRNA". It matches the Rfam family "Bacterial small subunit ribosomal RNA", at positions 418 to 1179 of the family's 1533-position model. The record is from RNAcentral. Lineage: Bacteria; Bacillati; Cyanobacteriota; Cyanophyceae; Oscillatoriales; Sirenicapillariaceae. RNAcentral also lists the same sequence under 1 other name.